This 72-nucleotide transfer RNA is filed under the name Poecillastra laminaris. Its description in RNAcentral is "tRNA-His". It matches the Rfam family "tRNA". Rfam says of the family: Transfer RNA (tRNA) molecules are approximately 80 nucleotides in length. Their secondary structure includes four short double-helical elements and three loops (D, anti-codon, and T loops). The record is from RNAcentral. Lineage: Eukaryota; Metazoa; Porifera; Demospongiae; Tetractinellida; Vulcanellidae.
GUGAAAAUAGCUCAGUGGUAGAGUGCAGGUUUGUGGGACCAAGGGUCGAGAGUUCAAAUCUCUUUUUUCACU